Molecule: transfer RNA, 62 nt
Filed under: Cryptorhynchinae sp. 8 ACP-2013
Lineage: Eukaryota; Metazoa; Arthropoda; Insecta; Coleoptera; Curculionidae
Description: tRNA-Ser
Source: RNAcentral
AGGAUUAAGUAAUCAAGAAAAAGCUUCUAACUUUAUUCUUAAGCACUAUAUGUUUUUAAUCC